CCUACGGGAGGCAGCAGUGAGGAAUAUUGGUCAAUGGGCGAGAGCCUGAACCAGCCAAGUCGCGUGAGGGAGUACUGCCCUAUGGGUUGUAAACCUCUUUUGUCGGGGAGCAAAAGCCGGACGUGUCCGGCUGUGAGAGUACCCGAAGAAAAAGCAUCGGCUAACUCCGUGCCAGCAGCCGCGGUAAUACGGAGGAUGCGAGCGUUAUCCGGAUUUAUUGGGGUUAAGGGGUGCGCAGGCGGAUUUUUAAGUCAGCGGUCAAAUCGUGGGGCUCAACCCCAUCCAGCCGUUGAAACUGGGGAUCUAGAGUGUGCGAGAGGUAGGCGGAAUGCGUGGUGUAGCGGUGAAAUGCAUAGAUAUCACGCAGAACCCCGAUUGCGAAGGCAGCAUACCGGUGCACAACUGACGCUCAGGCACGAAAGCGUGGGUAUCGAACAGGAUUAGAUACCCCAGUAGUC
This 458-nucleotide ribosomal RNA is filed under the name uncultured bacterium. RNAcentral describes it as "partial 16S ribosomal RNA". It matches the Rfam family "Bacterial small subunit ribosomal RNA", at positions 338 to 795 of the family's 1533-position model. The record is from RNAcentral.